GACGAACGCUGGCGGCGUGCCUAAUACAUGCAAGUCGAACGCACUCUCGUUUAGAUUGAAGGAGCUUGCUCCUGAUUGAUAAACAUUUGAGUGAGUGGCGGACGGGUGAGUAACACGUGGGUAACCUGCCCUAAAGUGGGGGAUAACAUUUGGAAACAGAUGCUAAUACCGCAUAAAACCUAACACCGCAUGGUGUAGGGUUGAAAGAUGGUUUCGGCUAUCACUUUAGGAUGGACCCGCGGUGCAUUAGUUAGUUGGUGAGGUAAAGGCUCACCAAGACCGUGAUGCAUAGCCGACCUGAGAGGGUAAUCGGCCACACUGGGACUGAGACACGGCCCAGACUCCUACGGGAGGCAGCAGUAGGGAAUCUUCCACAAUGGACGAAAGUCUGAUGGAGCAACGCCGCGUGAGUGAAGAAGGUUUUCGGAUCGUAAAACUCUGUUGUUGGAGAAGAAUGUAUCUGAUAGUAACUGAUCAGGUAGUGACGGUAUCCAACCAGAAAGCCACGGCUAACUACGUGCCAGCAGCCGCGGUAAUACGUAGGUGGCAAGCGUUGUCCGGAUUUAUUGGGCGUAAAGCGAGCGCAGGCGGUUUCUUAAGUCUGAUGUGAAAGCCUUCGGCUCAACCGAAGAAGUGCAUCGGAAACUGGGAAACUUGAGUGCAGAAGAGGACAGUGGAACUCCAUGUGUAGCGGUGAAAUGCGUAGAUAUAUGGAAGAACACCAGUGGCGAAGGCGGCUGUCUGGUCUGUAACUGACGCUGAGGCUCGAAAGCAUGGGUAGCAAACAGGAU
Molecule: ribosomal RNA, 791 nt
Filed under: Latilactobacillus sakei
Lineage: Bacteria; Bacillati; Bacillota; Bacilli; Lactobacillales; Lactobacillaceae
Description: bacterial SSU rRNA
Rfam family: Bacterial small subunit ribosomal RNA
Source: RNAcentral